AGAGAUCGAAUUGAAUGAGAGUGAAGAGCCUUAUAAGCAACUAUAGAAACAAUGGAAUAAAUGUGAAGAAAAGCAUCAAACAACAUAGUCUCUUCAUUGCAAGCAUGAGAAGAAAAAUCCCAUCACCCCCUGGAAUUUCUGGAAUGAUUUUGGGAGCUGUUUGUUUCACCAGGCCAUAAUUUCCCUGUUGGCUUAUGGAGCUAGAAAACCAGUUGCCAUGGCUGGGCUGGCAUCAUCACCGCUCUUUGUUGUUGCUCUAUUAUUACACACUGCAGUUGCAGAGGAGAAAGACCCUCACCAAGGACCCAACCAUGAUGGCACCCUGACCUCAGACUUCCGGCUUCCAGAACUAUGAGAAAUAAAUGUCCACUGUUUAA
This is a long non-coding RNA of Herpailurus yagouaroundi (jaguarundi), 377 nucleotides long. RefSeq lists it as uncharacterized. The transcript is spliced from 2 exons. The record is from RefSeq and is a predicted model, not a curated record. NCBI's taxonomy places the organism in Eukaryota, Metazoa, Chordata, Mammalia, Carnivora, Felidae.